GCCCUUCGGGGUACACGAGCGGCGAACGGGUGAGUAACACGUGAGCAACCUGCCCCUGACUCCGGGAUAAGCGGUGGAAACGCCGUCUAAUACCGGAUACGACCCUCCGCCUCAUGGUGGUGGGUGGAAAGUUUUUCGGUCGGGGAUGGGCUCGCGGCCUAUCAGCUUGUUGGUGGGGUAACGGCCUACCAAGGCGAUUACGGGUAGCCGGCCUGAGAGGGCGACCGGCCACACUGGGACUGAGACACGGCCCAGACUCCUGCGGGAGGCAGCAGUGGGGAAUAUUGCGCAAUGGGCGAAAGCCUGACGCAGCGACGCCGCGUGGGGGAUGACGGCCUUCGGGUUGUAAACCUCUUUUACCACUCACGCAGGCUCCACGUUUUCGUGGGGUUGACGGUAGGUGGGGAAUAAGGACCGGCUAACUACGUGCCAGCAGCCGCGGUAAUACGUAGGGUCCGAGCGUUGUCCGGAAUUAUUGGGCGUAAAGAGCUCGUAGGCGGCGUGUCGCGUCUGCUGUGAAAGACCGGGGCUUAACCCCGGUUCUGCAGUGGAUACGGGCAUGCUAGAGGUAGGUAGGGGAGACUGGAAUUCCUGGUGUAGCGGUGAAAUGCGCAGAUAUCAGGAGGAACACCGGUGGCGAAGGCGGGUCUCUGGGCCUUACCUGACGCUGAGGAGCGAAAGCAUGGGGAGCGAACAGGAUUAGAUACCCUGGUAGUCCAUGCCGUAAACGUU
This 732-nucleotide ribosomal RNA is filed under the name Nocardiopsis sp. YIM 61333. Its description in RNAcentral is "bacterial SSU rRNA". It matches the Rfam family "Bacterial small subunit ribosomal RNA", at positions 75 to 810 of the family's 1533-position model. Lineage: Bacteria; Bacillati; Actinomycetota; Actinomycetes; Streptosporangiales; Nocardiopsidaceae. The record is from RNAcentral.